This 537-nucleotide ribosomal RNA is filed under the name uncultured bacterium. RNAcentral's name for it is "bacterial SSU rRNA". It matches the Rfam family "Bacterial small subunit ribosomal RNA", at positions 104 to 638 of the family's 1533-position model. The record is from RNAcentral.
GGGUGAGGAAUAGAUAGGUAACGUACCUUGUACUUCGGGAUAAUUUCGUAUCGCAAGAUACUACCGAAAGGGACACUAAUACCGAAUAAUAUUUCCGGUCGUAUGACUGGUUCUCAAAGAUUUUAUCGGUGCGAGAGCGGCCUAUCUCCUAUCAGUUAGUUGGUGAGGUAACGGCCCACCAAGACUAUGACGGGUAGCGGGGCUGAGAGGUUGGCCCGCCACAUCGGAACUGAGGCACUGUCCGGACCUCCACGGAGGGCUGCAGUAACGAAUAUUGGGCAAUGGGCGAAAGCCUGACCCAGCGACGCCGCGUGCGGGAGGAAGUCCCUCGGGAUGUAAACCGCUUUCAGGGAGAAGAAAGGCGCAAGCUUGAUCUAUCCCAGAAGAAGCAACGGCUAACUUCGUGCCAGCAGCCGCGGUAAGACGAAGGUUGCGAGCGUUGUUCGGAAUCACUGGGCUUAAAGCGUAUGUAGGCGGGCCAGUAAGUAGUUUGUGAAAGCCCCCGGCUUAACCGGGGAAUCGCUUGCUAAACUACUG